ACCUCAGUCUUAUCUUCCUCAUUUCUGUUUCCUGUUGAAGACACCAAGGGCCCUUCAAAACACACAACCUUCUUGCUCACGGCAUAAAGCCCAGUUCCAUCUGGCCUCUGCAGGUUGGCUCAGCACUGGGGAACCAGUGUCCCCUCCAUGACCAAGGCACCACUCCACUGACAGACUCUGUUAAUCAGCUUGCUUGGCUGGUCUCCAACCACAGGUCCGGGGGAUGAGCCAAGGUCCUUUUGAGCUCCGGUAUGGGAACCUCUGGAAAGCUUAGCAACACUUUCCAACAACUUUGCCAGGGUCACAUCUCCCAGGAAGAACUCACUUUCCCGCAGAAGCCCCUGGCCUGGCCUCCUGCAGUGCCACGCUCCGUGUAUUUGACAAGCUGAGUUAGACACUCCGUGUGGUAGAGUGUCAGUUUGUCAAAUACCCCAAGUGUGACACAUGCUUAGCAGCUCCAGACCAGGGCAGAUGGGAUAUAACAGAUGAACUGCCAGCUGCAUACAAGGAUGCUCACCAAACACCAAGUUCUCAUGAGUUAUUUUAUGUGACUUUGCAGGAACUGAUGCAUUGUAUCUGAGGACACCAGGGGAGAAGUGUGGCAUCUGUGGGCAAUACAGCCCUGGGCUUCGUCUACAUACAUCACGAGAGUGCUGAUGGGGGCACAAUAGUCUCAAAAAUGUAUAAAAGGUCCAGGAAUAGAAGUGAUCUUUGAUACAUUAUUAUUUUCUUCCUUCACAUUCUCCUCCCAGAGUCUCCCAUCUAGGACACCAGAAUUCUCACACAAUCAUCAUAGCUUAUGUGAGAAAGCAGGGCUUAGAAAUUCACUUUCUUGACACUCAGUCUUGGCUUCUAAACACUCCUUGACCUUGCCUACCUCCUCCCUUUUCCACAUGUCUUUUCAUCUAUGAAUACUUUCCCCAUUUAUUUCUGCCUAUUCAAGUCUUCCCCACAUUUCCUGGCCUAGCCAAAGUCCAGUGUUUCCAGAGACUUUUAAAAGUCAAUUUAUACUUUUUCCUUCUUCACUCACAAAGCACUUCUUGCCCGGGCCCUGGUAUAUGCCUCUUCCUCUCUUACUAACAGCACCUCUUGAAUUGUCAAUUAACUUUUCUAGGGGGGUAUUGUUGAAUUCCCAACUAGAUUGUGAGCUUCUAGAAGACAAGGCUAUGUAUCUUUGAUUGCUGUCUCCCCUACCACAGCCCAGUAGUUUGGUUACAGAAAAAAAUAAACCUUUAUUGAUUGAUUGACUUUCCACUAGUCCACUAGCUUUAGGCUUUGGGGCCAAAUUCUACCCUGGAUUUUGAACAUGAAAUCGAAGUGCAUACACCAAAUGUUAUAGAGCAUAUUAGGUAGUAGCCAACAUGAAGGGUUUUUUCUUCCUGAGAAACAGUGUCAAGGGCUGGAAGAAAAGGACGAAAGAGUAGAUUCAUAGGGCAAAUAAUUUUGGUAUUACUUGGUUACACAAAGUUAUACAGGUGUUUUACUACAGGAUUUUUCAGAGCCUUUAAUAGUCUAAUGUUACAUUGACAAUCUCAAAGAUGAAACCGUAGAAUGAGGCAUUUGCCACACUUAACUGAUCAUGAAUUUUUUUCCCACAGGAAAAAAAACUUUUCCUAUGUGUCAAUGGCCCAUUAAGCCAAAUUUGGGAAAGUGUCCUAGAGAAACUUUACACCUUCUCUCUGUUCUGGAGAUCUUUUCCUCUUUUCACUUGUCUACUUUCUCCACCCAGCCACCCACCUAAGAAAGGUCCCAUGUUAUCACCUCAUUUUUGUUUAGCCUAUCCUGCAGCUUUGAACUAUCUCUAUACAUAGGAAUUUUUUACUAGUUUGUCCUAUAUGAAAAAAAUGCUCAGUUUUGAGACAAAGAAGAUCCAGAUGCUGCAAUAAAUAUAUGCACUGAAGAGUU
Callithrix jacchus (white-tufted-ear marmoset) is the source of this 1905-nucleotide long non-coding RNA. RefSeq lists it as uncharacterized. NCBI's taxonomy places the organism in Eukaryota, Metazoa, Chordata, Mammalia, Primates, Cebidae. The record is from RefSeq and is a predicted model, not a curated record.